This 75-nucleotide transfer RNA is filed under the name Chroomonas placoidea. RNAcentral describes it as "tRNA-Arg". It matches the Rfam family "tRNA". Rfam says of the family: Transfer RNA (tRNA) molecules are approximately 80 nucleotides in length. Their secondary structure includes four short double-helical elements and three loops (D, anti-codon, and T loops). Lineage: Eukaryota; Cryptophyceae; Pyrenomonadales; Chroomonadaceae. The record is from RNAcentral.
AUGCUUGUAGCUUAAAUUGGAUAAAGUAUUAAAUUGCGAAUUUAAUGAUUGAAAGUUCGAGUCUUUCCAAGCAUA